UGAUGGGGGUUACCAGCUGAGAUUAGGAGUCUUGGGGGUACCCCUAAUUAUGGUCCCCGACAAAUAUUGAAUUACAAAUGUACCUUCGGCUUGAUAGAAGGUAAAAGUACAAGCGUGACGCACAAGCAAGUACAAGUCAGCGUGAACAGUACGGGGGUACUGUUCAUCUAUUUAUAGGCACAGGACGCAGCCUGUGAGAAAUUACAUUCAUGCCCUUUACAUUUAUUAUUAACUUAUAUACAAUUCUAUGAGGACUAGAUUGUCUUUUCCCCUUUAAGUCGGUUCCUUUUUCCUCUAUUUAUCCGAAGCUUUCUUGCACAUAGCUUCGGGAUUGAUUCGACCUUCGUCCCGAUCAUGCUUUCCAUAUUAUAUAUGCUUUUGACCCGAGUCCGAAGGUACCUGUUUACAUGUCACACUUGGAAAAUAUUGUUAAAUCACAUUUUUGAGGACCUUCGGAGGACGAAGGCUCCCAACAACUGCCAUCGCAGCAAAAUCAACCCAAUGAACUCCCUAUACUGACCACUCCCCUACUGCCCUUGUCCCUUUUGGGUAAGGUAGUCUUCCACUAGCUUUCAUAAUUAGUCAGCCAAGGGCGUCCCAUACCACCCUCGUGGUAGCACUGUUUUCCCGGGUGGUUCUCCAUGUUCCAAUUAACAUAAUGAUCUUAUCAUGCAUAGUAAAUAUCAAAUUGAUAAUGUAAGUAGGAUCAUGAAUAAUGUGUACCUCUAUACCCAAAACCACAUAUAGCAAUAGCAGGUACUACCAAAAAAUUCAGUGGUAAACAAGGUAUAAAGAUAGUCAAACUAGGGUAACCUAUUGGGUCCCAUCAAAAUUAACCUAUGCAGAUCAUUAUGAUUAAUAAGAGCAUGAUUGGAUAAAAAGAAGUGAUCAAGGGCACAACUUGCCUGGGACUUGAGAUUCCAGGUACCAACUUGCUCUUUAGGUGACUUGUAACCUCGCUGCUAGUCGUAGCAAUACAGACAAACAUGGUAUAGGAAAAAUUAACAUUACACCAAACAUAAUAACAAACUGCAUAAUAAUAUUCUACUCGUUGUAAUGAGAUCGUGGGUUCGAGAACCAUUAAAAUCAGAGUUAAAACGAAAAAGUUAUGGUAAAACAAUAUUUUUUUAGGUGCAAUAAAUCUACUAGAUGUUGUAUUUAAACUAAGCAUGUAUUAAGUUAAAAUAUCUGAGUUGAUAUUAAUCAAUUUAACAAUUAAUUUUAAUAAGCGUAGGUUACAACUAUAAAUUAGGUUAACUAGAUUGACUAGCUAAUUAACAUUAAUUAAACAAUUAAUUAAUUAAUGAAACCAUGUGGCAUAAUUAAAAUAAUGUUAUUACUAUGUACGCAGAAAUUAAUAUGAACCUAACACAACCUGAACAGAUUAAAACAAGUUAUUUGAUAUACAAAAUAUCACAUUUUUUUAAUAAAUUAGUAGGGCUGCAAAGAAAUAGUUGACAUGAUGGUGGAAAAUUACUUGUCGAAGUUAUCGCUAGAGUUCGGGAGGGAACUCGAAUUUCGAUGAGCUGGUCAUAGCGGCUUAUGGCUACGAGCUUGGCUGAGGUCAGUGACCGGCAAGGAAUCUUCGGCCCUCUCGUCUCUGUUUGCUCACGAAAAGGCCAUGGACAUCUUCUGCAUGCACGACCAGAGUUCGCACGACGACGCGGCUAACCCCUGUUCUUCUCUCUCUACUACUCUGCUUGGCUCUCAUCUCAUGGCGAUGGUGGUGCUUUGUGCUUCCUCUGAUGAUGGACAAGGGUCACG
RNAcentral lists this long non-coding RNA (1764 nucleotides) under Zea mays. Its description in RNAcentral is "long non-coding RNA (ZMAY_LNC000347)". The record is from RNAcentral. Lineage: Eukaryota; Viridiplantae; Streptophyta; Magnoliopsida; Poales; Poaceae.